UGGGGAAUAUUGCACAAUGGGCGCAAGCCUGAUGCAGCCAUGCCGCGUGUGUGAAGAAGGCCUUCGGGUUGUAAAGCACUUUCAGUCGUGAGGAAGGCGGGUACGUUAAUAGCGUAUUCGUUUGACGUUAGCGACAGAAGAAGCACCGGCUAACUCCGUGCCAGCAGCCGCGGUAAUACGGAGGGUGCGAGCGUUAAUCGGAAUUACUGGGCGUAAAGCGCAUGCAGGUGGUUUGUUAAGUCAGAUGUGAAAGCCCGGGGCUCAACCUCGGAAUAGCAUUUGAAACUGGCAGACUAGAGUACUGUAGAGGGGGGUAGAAUUUCAGGUGUAGCGGUGAAAUGCGUAGAGAUCUGAAGGAAUACCGGUGGCGAAGGCGGCCCCCUGGACAGAUACUGACACUCAGAUGCGAAAGCGUGGGGAGCAAACAGGAUUAGAUACCCCCGUAGUCC
Molecule: ribosomal RNA, 449 nt
Filed under: uncultured prokaryote
Description: bacterial SSU rRNA
Rfam family: Bacterial small subunit ribosomal RNA
Source: RNAcentral